Molecule: non-coding RNA, 480 nt
Organism: Cinara cedri
Lineage: Eukaryota; Metazoa; Arthropoda; Insecta; Hemiptera; Aphididae
Source: the annotation of a GenBank genome assembly
CAAGUACAGCUUUCUAAAAGCGUCUUUUGUGUAUCGGAAAGAACAGAUAUUAUUUAUAACAUCUGUAGAAAAUAUUACUGCACAAAUUCUAGUAAGUAUGAAGACAGACACGAGUAAAAAUUCAUAAAUUAUUUAUUAUAUUUAUCUUUUCAAAUGAUACGAUAAUAAAAUUCAGUAAAUUUAAGAAGCUUAAAAAUUCAAAAUUCAAAUAAUUAAGUUUAAUUUUUCGCCAUGUUAAAUUAUUAUAUCUGUACACACUAAAACACUCGUAUGUUGAAGAGCUCCGGCACUAUAAAGUUGAAUUACCCCAAAUUUUAUUACGUUAUCUUAUCCAGAACUGCACAAAACAAAUUUUAAUUAUUUUACCAAUCAUUCUUUGUGAUAAAAUUUGUAUGUGUCGAAUUUUCGGAAAUCAAAAUUUUGGAGUCCACCCGUUUCUGUAUAAGUGUGCAAACAUUGCAGACCUUUGUGUGCGUUAUU